Molecule: ribosomal RNA, 450 nt
Filed under: uncultured bacterium
Lineage: Bacteria
Description: partial 16S ribosomal RNA
Rfam family: Bacterial small subunit ribosomal RNA
Source: RNAcentral
UUCCAGACUCCUACGGGAGGCAGCAGUGGGGGAUAUUGCACAAUGGGGGGAACCCUGAUGCAGCGACGCCGCGUGGGUGAAGGAGUGUUUCGGCGCGUAAAGCCCUAUCGGCAGGGAAGAAGGAGGACGGUACCUGACUAAGAAGCCCCGGCUAACUACGUGCCAGCAGCCGCGGUAAUACGUAGGGGGCAAACGUUAUCCGGAUUUACUGGGUGUAAAGGGGGCGCAGACGGCAGCGCAAGCCAGGAGGGAAAGCCCGGGGCCCAACCCCGGGACUGCUCUUGGAACUGCGCGGCUGGAGUGCAGGAGGGGCAGGCGGAAUUCCUGGUAUAGCGGUGAAAUGCGUAGAUAUCAGGAGGAACACCGGUGGCGAAGGCGGCCUGCUGGACUGCGACUGACGUUGAGGCCCGAAAGCGUGGGGAGCAAACAGGAUUAGAUACCCCUGUAGAA